AGAGUUUGAUCCUGGCUCAGGACGAACGCUGGCGGCGUGCCUAACACAUGCAAGUCGAGCGAGGGACUUCGGUCCCUAGCGGCGGACGGGUGAGUAACACGUGGGCAACCUGCCUCAUAGAGGGGGAUAGCCUCCCGAAAGGGAGAUUAAUACCGCAUAACAUCAUGCUUUCGCAUGGAAGUAUGAUUAAAGGAGCAAUCCGCUAUGAGAUGGGCCCGCGGCGCAUUAGCUAGUUGGUGAGGUAACGGCUCACCAAGGCGACGAUGCGUAGCCGACCUGAGAGGGUGAUCGGCCACAUUGGAACUGAGACACGGUCCAGACUCCUACGGGAGGCAGCAGUGGGGAAUAUUACACAAUGGGCGAAAGCCUGAUGCAGCAACGCCGCGUGAGUGAAGAAGGCCUUCGGGUUGUAAAGCUCUGUCUUUUGGGACGAUAAUGACGGUACCAAAGGAGGAAGCCACGGCUAACUACGUGCCAGCAGCCGCGGUAAUACGUAGGUGGCAAGCGUUGUCCGGAUUUACUGGGCGUAAAGGAUGCGUAGGUGGAUAUUUAAGUGGGAUGUGAAAUACCCGGGCUCAACUUGGGUGCUGCAUUCCAAACUGGAUAUCUAGAGUGCAGGAGAGGAAAGUGGAAUUCCUAGUGUAGCAGUGAAAUGCGUAGAUAUUAGGAGGAACACCAGUGGCGAAGGCGACUUUCUGGACUGUAACUGACACUGAGGCAUGAAAGCGUGGGGAGCAAACAGGAUUAGAUACCCUGGUAGUCCACGCCGUAAACGAUGGGUACUAGGUGUAGGAGGGUCGAACCUUCUGUGCCGUCGUUAACACAUUAAGUACCCCGCCUGGGGAGUACGGUCGCAAGAUUAAAACUCAAAUGAAUUGACGG
RNAcentral lists this ribosomal RNA (882 nucleotides) under uncultured bacterium. RNAcentral describes it as "bacterial SSU rRNA". It matches the Rfam family "Bacterial small subunit ribosomal RNA", at positions 8 to 916 of the family's 1533-position model. The record is from RNAcentral.